GUGCUCCUUGGCCCCUGGCCACAGGGACUUCAGCUUCCAGGAAAAGAAAGGCCAGGAAGGCUUAUCUUUCAAGAAACAGAAAGAUUUAAGCGAGCACAGGUUCUUUCCCUAAACUGAGAACUGAUGGCUCAUGUCUGUUCCAAAAGGCUUUGCGAAGGAAGAAGAGUUGUAGAAAUGAGUUAAAAGAUGACAGUGCAAUGAUCGCGCAGAAUCCAGUAUGAGUCCUCAGCCCAAAGGAACUGUAAGUCUCCACUGGAAACCUCACCCCGCCUCCCCCGCUCGGGGCCUCACCUCCGACCCGGACUUAAGAUGAUGCACAUGCAUCAAAACCCCAAGAGCAAGGGACCCAGCCUUUGCCUGUAACUGUGGGGGCUGCCAAGCCGGGAAAGAAAUCUAAGCCACAUGUGCCGGGGGUUUCGCCUGCUCCGAGGGACACAGGGACAGCGCGGGAAGGGAAGUAACCUCCAGUCAAUGACCACCAGAGCCGGACGUGAGGAGGUGCAGACCUUUGCCAAAGGAGCCUGUCAGAAGAACCAUCCAGAAAAACUAUGAAUUCACACCUUCAUGCCAAUUCUUGAGUCCUAAUUCUAGAAACAAGGUCAGAGUUAAAGAAAAAUCCCUAGUUCUUGACAGUGGAUCUCUUGAGCCCACGUGCCUGCCUGCUCAAGAGGCACCACUGUGGGCCAAGAGCAGGAGAGCAGCACUGUGUGGGGCAUGUCCCAGGCAGCAAGGAGAUCUGGAUACCCAGAAAUCGCUGAAUCGUGUGAGUGGGAAAUGACACUGGCCUGACCGAGGGCAGAAGCAGCAGAAAUAAAAAGGAAACAACAGAC
Molecule: long non-coding RNA, 830 nt
Filed under: Fukomys damarensis (Damara mole-rat)
Lineage: Eukaryota; Metazoa; Chordata; Mammalia; Rodentia; Bathyergidae
Description: lncRNA (ENSFDAG00000029014.1)
Source: RNAcentral